This 503-nucleotide ribosomal RNA is filed under the name uncultured bacterium. RNAcentral's name for it is "partial 16S ribosomal RNA". It matches the Rfam family "Bacterial small subunit ribosomal RNA", at positions 30 to 523 of the family's 1533-position model. The record is from RNAcentral.
AUUGAACGCUGGCGGCAGGCUUAACACAUGCAAGUCGAGCGGGGUGAUGGUGCUUGCACUAUCACUUAGCGGCGGACGGGUGAGUAAUGCUUAGGAAUCUGCCUAUUAGUGGGAGACAACAUCUCGAAAGGGAUGCUAAUACCGCAUACGUCCUACGGGAGAAAGCAGGGGAUCACUUGUGACCUUGCGCUAAUAGAUGAGCCUAAGUCGGAUUAGCUAGUUGGUGGGGUAAAGGCUUACCAAGGCGACGAUCUGUAGCGGGUCUGAGAGGAGGAUCCGCCACACUGGGACUGAGACACGGCCCAGACUCCUACGGGAGGCAGCAGUGGGGAAUAUUGGACAAUGGGGGGAACCCUGAUCCAGCCAUGCCGCGUGUGUGAAGAAGGCCUUAUGGUUGUAAAGCACUUUAAGCGAGGAGGAGGCUCUUUUGGUUAAUACCCAAGAUGAGUGGACGUUACUCGCAGAAUAAGCACCGGCUAACUCUGUGCCAGCCGCCGCGGUAA